Molecule: ribosomal RNA, 119 nt
Filed under: Scophthalmus maximus (turbot)
Lineage: Eukaryota; Metazoa; Chordata; Actinopteri; Pleuronectiformes; Scophthalmidae
Source: RNAcentral
GCUUACGGCCACACCGCUGGUUCACGCCCGAUCUCGUUUGAUCUCGGAAGCUAAGAUAGGUUGGGCUCGGUUAAGUACUUGGAUGGGAGACGCCUGGGAAUUACCAGGUGCUGUAAACU